Molecule: ribosomal RNA, 253 nt
Filed under: uncultured bacterium
Lineage: Bacteria
Description: partial 16S ribosomal RNA
Rfam family: Bacterial small subunit ribosomal RNA
Source: RNAcentral
UACAGAGGGUGCAAGCGUUGUUCGGAAUCACUGGGCGUAAAGCGCGCGCAGGCGGAUGGUUGCGUCCGGAGUGAAAUUUCGCCGCUCAACGGCGAAGCUGCUUUGGAUACGGACCGUCUAGGGACCGGUAGAGGCUGGUAGAAUUGCAGGUGUAGCGGUGGAAUGCGUAGAGAUCGGGAAGAACAUCGGUGGCGAAGGCGGCCUGCUGGGCUGUUGCUGACGCUGAGGCGCGACAGCGUGGGGAGCAAACAGG